Long non-coding RNA from Oncorhynchus nerka (sockeye salmon), 2355 nucleotides. RefSeq lists it as uncharacterized. The transcript is spliced from 2 exons. The record is from RefSeq and is a predicted model, not a curated record. NCBI's taxonomy places the organism in Eukaryota, Metazoa, Chordata, Actinopteri, Salmoniformes, Salmonidae.
AACUUUUGACCGGUACUGUAUGUCAGGAAAUGAAUGACAAAUAUUCAAUACAUGUAUUUGGAAAAUACAGUAUUUAUGUCACAAAGAAGUCGGCUGAACAACAGAUGAGGAAAAUCACCAUAGCCACAGUUCAAAUAUUUUGCAUGCGUGCAGCACUGGAUAAUGCACAAUGGUACAGUAAACUUUAUCCGGCUCAUUCAAAUUGUGUGGUGACAUAAUACAGUAGGUUAGUCAGUUAUUUUAACAUCUCAACGUGCAUGUGUGAGGCACAGAAUGAUCAUACAACACUUGUUACACAAUUAACAAUAACAAAAGAAGACAUUCGAUGUAUGCACGAUACGUUUACAGAAUAUUUUUGUGAGUGUUUACAUAAAAUAGUCAUGGAUUUCUGGUUGAGGUGAGGCAAUCUCAUUGGACAUGCAUGACGGCUGUUUUCGCAGGAACAGUUCAAAAUACGGCAAUUCUAGCUGGUAGAGAUUCCUGAUAAAAAAUGUCUUGCAUUCUACAUCCUUAUCUGCCUGCAUGGACGGUAAGUGAGAAUCAGUGGAGGGUUCAUUUAACAAAACAAGUAGAAUAUUCUCAUUGUCUACAGUGAAGAGGCAAAUCCGGGAUGCUGGCCUUCUAGGCAGAGUUCCUCUGUCCAGUGUCUGUGUUCUUUUGCCCAUCUUAAUCUUUUCUUUUUAUUGGCCAGUCUGAGAUAUGGCUUUUUCUUUGCAACUCUGCCUAGAAGGCCAGCAUCCCGGAGUCGCCUCUUCACUGUUGAGACUGGUGUUUUGUGGGUACUAUUUAAUGAAGCUGCCAGUUGAGGAUUUGUGAGACAUAUGUUAAUGGACAAUUAUUUUUGCUUUUCUUUCAAAAACAAGGACAUUUCUAAGUGACCCCAAACUUUUGAACGGUAGUGUAUGUAACAGUUUUGCUUCCGUAUCUCUCUUCACCCCAACCUGGGCUCAAACCAGAGACCCUCUGCACACAUCGACAACAGUCUCCCUCGAAGCACCGUUACCCAUCGUUCCACAAAAGCUACAGCCCUUGCAGACCAAGGGAAACAACUACUUCAAGAAGAGACACAGCAGUUGACCAUGAUGUGUGAUACCACAAACAACAGCUUUCAGCAUGAUCAUCAACUUGGGCACGUUGAGCUGUAGGCUUACAAAAGAGUUUCCUGGCACCACAUCGACAAUGUCUUCCAAAGAAAACAUCAGGGAGAACCCCCAAGACAUUCAAAUAUCACUUGACAGUUGUGGAGGCAAAGCAAAUGUGAGCUCUCUACUCCUCCUCACCCACGGGCCCUAUGCCACAGGAGGCAUUGCCAAUUCUGCCCUCGGCACUUCCCCUGAGACAUUUUAUAUUUAUUUGAUAAUAGGGGAAUAAAGUAAGAGGAGGAUCUUUUAAGUUGAUUCUGAACCUGAUAGGAUUCCUGGAACUGACAAACCUUGCUCUUUUUAUCUGACAGUUGAUACUGUAUCAACAUUGGCAAACAUCCUAUCGCCAAAUCACCAAAUUUACUGGAGAUCAGGGAAUUUUUCAGGUAAGUGAUAUUUUAAUGUCUUGGGGGUUCUCCCUGAUGUUUUUUGUGGAAGACAUUGUCGGCUCAACGUGCCCAAGUGGCCCAUAUGAGAGUCGAUGAUGUUGUUUGCUGUUGUUGUUUGUGGUAUCACACAUCAUGAUCAACUGCUGUGUCUCUUUUGUGCAAGAAAUACAUAGUAUUUUAGGAACGGAACAUAUUUCUUUGUAUAACAAAGUAGAAAAUAACUGAACUUGAAAGUGGGUAUGAAGUUUUUCAAACAUUUGAGCAGCUUUGUAUUGUUGACUGAAUAAGUUAUUGUCUAGUUUUAUGUUUAUUUAACUACUAUUCAAAAGGAUUAAGAGACUGCAACUGCACAAGUACAUUCCAUCCUUUUGCAACUGAGACAUUACACAUUUUACACCUGUCUGUCUGUAGAACAAAUGGGAUUACUGUGACUGUCAAAGGACUGUACAAUUUGUCCCAAUUCUUUCCUCAUUCUGGUCAAUAAUGGGAAUCAGCUUCUGACCGUGGGAUCCUAUAACUGUCUGCUCAUGGUUUACAUUUCUCCAGGGCCAUUAUAUUAACUUCUUUUGUCAAGUGCAGUAGGCAAAAACAGGUUGGAUCAAUGUUGUUUCCACGUCAUUUCAAUGGAAAACAUCAAUGUGAUGAUGUUGAAUCAACGUGUAAAACCGAUUGGACUUGCAAAAAGUCAUCGACAUCAGGGCAUUUCAUAUGCUUUUCACCAAACUGUUAACCUAAAUCCAAUGACAUGGUGAUAUUUGUUGUUAAUUUCACAUUGAAUUCACGUUAGUUGACUCAACCAAAUAAAAUCAAAACUAUAUGUUGAA